This 1221-nucleotide ribosomal RNA is filed under the name Corythucha marmorata. RNAcentral describes it as "16S ribosomal RNA". The stretch from base 998 to 1156 matches the Rfam family "Archaeal large subunit ribosomal RNA", at positions 2542 to 2701 of the family's 2987-position model. Lineage: Eukaryota; Metazoa; Arthropoda; Insecta; Hemiptera; Tingidae. The record is from RNAcentral.
GUAAUUACUUUUUGUUAAAUAAUUUUAUUGAUUUUAAUAAAUAUAUAUAUUUGUAGUAUAAUUUAUAGAAUUAAUUAUUAUAUUUAUAUUUAGAGUACUGCGAAGGAAAACAAUAAAUAAAUUAUAAGAAAUUUUUAUUUAUUGUACCUUUUGUAUCAGGGUUUAUUAAAUAAAAAUUAUAUAUAUAAUUUUCCCGAAAAUUAAAGAGAUAUAUUUAUAUUUUUGUUUAAGUUUCAAAUUAAUAAAUAAUAUAAAUAUAGUGGUUAUAUGCUUUUCAAUUUAGUUAUAUCUGGUUUUUCUUGAAUUGAAUUUAAUUCAAAAAUUAUCUGUUAUUUAAAAAUUUAUUUUAAUUAAAGAUAAUUUAAAUAAUUAAAGGGACAAGCUUUUAAUUAAUUUUUAUAAUUUAUUAUUAUUUUAAAUUUAUUUAGGAUUAAUAUUUUCUUUUUUUAUAUUUUUAUAAAAAAAAUUUAUAUAUUAUAUAUUUUUUAUAAUUUAAAACUUUAAAGAAACAUAUUAUAUAAUUUUUAUAUAAUAUAUAUAAUGAUAAAAUUAGUAACAUUUAAAAUUAAAAUUAAGAACUCGGCAACUUUAUUUUCCGACUGUUUAAUAAAAACAUUUUUUUUUGUUUUUAUAAAAAGUAAAACCUGCCCUAUGAUAAAAUUAAAUGGCCGCGAUUAUUAUCGUGCAAAGGUAGCAUAAUAAUUUGUCCUUUAAAUGAGGUCUAGAAUGAAAGGUUUAACGAGAAAAUAACUUUUUUAUUUUAAUUUUUUUGAAUUUUAUUUUUUAGUUAAAAAGCUAAAAUAUAAUUAUGGGACGAUAAGACCCUAUAGAAUUUUAUUUUUUAUAUAAAAAAUAAACUUUAUUUUUAUUUUUAUAUUUUAUAUAAAAAAUUUGGUUGGGGCGACUUUUAUAUUAACUAAACUAUAUUUUUAUAUUAUUCAUUAAUUUAUGAUUUAUUGAUCCUAAAAUUUAGAUUAAAAGAAUAAAUUACCUUAGGGAUAACAGCGUAAUUUUCUUGGGGAGUUCUUAUUUAUAAGAAAGUUUGCGACCUCGAUGUUGGAUUAAAAUUAAUUUAUAAUGCAGAAGUUAUAAUUUUAAGUCUGUUCGACUUUUAAAAUUUUACAUGAUCUGAGUUAAGACCGGCGUGAGCCAGGUUGGUUUCUAUCUAUAAUUAUUAUAAUAUGCUUUAGUACGAAAGGACCAAGCAUAGCAAAUAUUUUG